AUAUUAGUUGUGAAAUAAUAUUAYCUAUUUCCCUAUCAAUAAUAUUAAAAUUUUGUAUAAAACUAGGGUUAGUAGCCUAUUAUGAUCAAGGUAAAUUUUUUAAGGUAUUAAAAGACUAGUCUCUAAACCUAAAUAACAUGGCAGUAUUUUACCCCUUGCAGAGGAACUUGAAUAUUAAUUAGAUAGUCCUCUAUUAUUCUUACUUAAUUUUAUUUUGUGUGUGGUUGUUAAAAUAAAUAUAAAAUUAUAAGUUUUAAAUCAGAUGACAUGUAUAGAUAAUUAAGGUAAUUUUAGUUACAAUUAGUAAUUUUAUUAAGUUUAAAUAUAGGAUUUGCAAGUAUUAAAAAAAAAAUAUAAGAAGAGGUUUUAAAAUGUGUACAU
This 381-nucleotide ribosomal RNA is filed under the name Neocalanus cristatus. Its description in RNAcentral is "partial 12S ribosomal RNA". Lineage: Eukaryota; Metazoa; Arthropoda; Copepoda; Calanoida; Calanidae. The record is from RNAcentral.